Molecule: unclassified non-coding RNA, 151 nt
Filed under: uncultured fungus
Lineage: Eukaryota; Fungi
Description: sequence contains ITS1, 5.8S rRNA gene
Source: RNAcentral
UAGAGUUGUAAAACUCCCAAAACCCAUGUGAACAUACCUCUGUUGCCUCGGUGGCCUACCCGGUAGUUACCCUGUAGUUACCCUGUAGUCUGCCGACGGACCACAAAACUCUGUUUUUUUUAAUAUCUCUGAGUCAACUAUAAAUAAGUUA